This is a long non-coding RNA of Anguilla rostrata (American eel), 318 nucleotides long. RefSeq lists it as uncharacterized. Lineage: Eukaryota; Metazoa; Chordata; Actinopteri; Anguilliformes; Anguillidae. The transcript is spliced from 2 exons. The record is from RefSeq and is a predicted model, not a curated record.
AGCUUCUCUGGGUUCUUCUUUGCUUAGUCUUUGGUUUUGAGAACACAACGAUGGACCAAACACGCUCAGUACCUUCGUCUUAUCUGGCCUGGUCAAUUUUCAACACCCUGUGCUGCUGUCUUCCACUUGGUGUGGUUGCAAUUAUAUUUUCCACCAGAGUGAAUAGCGCAGUCGCCAGCGGGGACCUCACGACAGCAGAAUCCGCCUCACGGACCGCCAAAAUUGUGAACAUCGUCGCCCUGGUGAUAGGGCUUAUUUUCAUCAUCACAGUCGUCUCGAUCAACGUAAAGAAUCAAAAGCACUGAAGCAGGCGCAGAA